Molecule: ribosomal RNA, 217 nt
Filed under: uncultured bacterium
Lineage: Bacteria
Description: partial 16S ribosomal RNA
Rfam family: Bacterial small subunit ribosomal RNA
Source: RNAcentral
CGGAUGGGGGAUAACCUUCCGAAAGGAGGGCUAAUACCGAGUGAGACCACAGUGACUGCGGUCACAGGGGUUAAAGAUGGCCUCUACUUGUAAGCUAUCGCUUGGAGAUGGGCUUAUGCACCAUCAGCUAGUUGGCAGUGUAAAAGACUACCAAGGCUACGACGGUUAACUGAUCUGAGAGGUUGAUCAGUCACACUGGAACUGAGACACGGUCCAG